Musa acuminata AAA Group (dessert banana) is the source of this 142-nucleotide small nucleolar RNA. RefSeq annotates it as small nucleolar RNA F1/F2/snoR5a. NCBI's taxonomy places the organism in Eukaryota, Viridiplantae, Streptophyta, Magnoliopsida, Zingiberales, Musaceae. The transcript has a single exon. The record is from RefSeq and is a predicted model, not a curated record.
GAAUGCCAUUAGGUAUCUGAUGCUCAGUUCAAUGGUCGUGGCUGGGCAUCUCGUUAUGAUGGCAAAAAGGGAAGAGCAGGUCUUGCGACACUGGUAGCUCCAUUUCUCAGAGCUUCCUGUUACUUAUUCCCUGCUUACACGC